Molecule: long non-coding RNA, 283 nt
Organism: Ostrinia nubilalis (European corn borer)
Lineage: Eukaryota; Metazoa; Arthropoda; Insecta; Lepidoptera; Crambidae
Exons: 3
Source: RefSeq, a predicted model, not a curated record
CCCGCACCCGCGCCGCCCGCUGAAGCUGCGCCGGCGCCGGCUCCCGCGCCUGAACCAGCGGCACCAGCAGCGCCACCACCAGUUGAAGCUUCAGCGUAAAAACACACAAGGCAGUUCGCUUCGCAUCGCAACAACAUGGAAUCUUCGUACAUUCACGGCAAUGUUAAACCAUAAAGCCAUCAUGGGACGUUUUCGAUAUUUUUGUACCAUUUCACCUUUACUUUACAUUAGUACAUUUUUAAAUUUUGUAUAAUGAAGGUAAUAAAUUAUUGUUAAGUUUAAA